RNAcentral lists this ribosomal RNA (252 nucleotides) under uncultured bacterium. Its description in RNAcentral is "partial 16S ribosomal RNA". It matches the Rfam family "Bacterial small subunit ribosomal RNA", at positions 524 to 775 of the family's 1533-position model. The record is from RNAcentral.
UACGGAGGGUGCAAGCGUUAUCCGGAUUUACUGGGUUUAAAGGGUGCGCAGGCGGAUAUGUAAGUCAGUGGUGAAAUCUCCGGGCUUAACCCGGAAACUGCCGUUGAUACUAUAUAUCUUGAAUGCCGUGGAGGUAAGCGGAAUAUGUCAUGUAGCGGUGAAAUGCUUAGAUAUGACAUAGAACACCGAUUGCGAAGGCAGCUUACUACACGGAGAUUGACGCUCAUGCACGAAAGCGUGGGGAUCAAACAG